UUAAGCGACUAAGCGUACACGGUGGAUGCCCUGGCAGUCAGAGGCGAUGAAGGACGUGCUAAUCUGCGAUAAGCGUCGGUAAGGUGAUAUGAACCGUUAUAACCGGCGAUUUCCGAAUGGGGAAACCCAGUGUGAUUCGUCACACUAUCAUUAACUGAAUCCAUAGGUUAAUGAGGCGAACCGGGGGAACUGAAACAUCUAAGUACCCCGAGGAAAGAAAUCAACCGAGAUUCCCCAGUAGCGGCGAGCGAACGGGGAGGAGCCCAGAGCCUGAAUCAGUGUGUGUGUUAGUGGAAGCGUCUGGAAAGGCGCGCGAUACAGGGUGACAGCCCCGUACACAAAAAUGCACAUGCUGUGAGCUCGAUGAGUAGGGCGGGACACGUGGUAUCCUGUCUGAAUAUGGGGGGACCAUCCUCCAAGGCUAAAUACUCCUGACUGACCGAUAGUGAACCAGUACCGUGAGGGAAAGGCGAAAAGAACCCCGGCGAGGGGAGUGAAAAAGAACCUGAAACCGUGUACGUACAAGCAGUGGGAGCCUCUUUAUGGGGUGACUGCGUACCUUUUUGUAUAAUGGGUCAGCGACUUAUAUUCUGUAGCAAGGUUAACCGAAUAGGGGAGCCGAAGGGAAACCGAGUCUUAACUGGGCGUUAAGUUGCAGGGUAUAGACCCGAAACCCGGUGAUCUAGCCAUGGGCAGGUUGAAGGUUGGGUAACACUAACUGGAGGACCGAACCGACUAAUGUUGAAAAAUUAGCGGAUGACUUGUGGCUGGGGGUGAAAGGCCAAUCAAACCGGGAGAUAGCUGGUUCUCCCCGAAAGCUAUUUAGGUAGCGCCUCGUGAAUUCAUCUCCGGGGGUAGAGCACUGUUUCGGCAAGGGGGUCAUCCCGACUUACCAACCCGAUGCAAACUGCGAAUACCGGAGAAUGUUAUCACGGGAGACACACGGCGGGUGCUAACGUCCGUCGUGAAGAGGGAAACAACCCAGACCGCCAGCUAAGGUCCCAAAGUCAUGGUUAAGUGGGAAACGAUGUGGGAAGGCCCAGACAGCCAGGAUGUUGGCUUAGAAGCAGCCAUCAUUUAAAGAAAGCGUAAUAGCUCACUGGUCGAGUCGGCCUGCGCGGAAGAUGUAACGGGGCUAAACCAUGCACCGAAGCUGCGGCAGCGACACUAUGUGUUGUUGGGUAGGGGAGCGUUCUGUAAGCCUGCGAAGGUGUACUGUGAGGUAUGCUGGAGGUAUCAGAAGUGCGAAUGCUGACAUAAGUAACGAUAAAGCGGGUGAAAAGCCCGCUCGCCGGAAGACCAAGGGUUCCUGUCCAACGUUAAUCGGGGCAGGGUGAGUCGACCCCCUAAGGCGAGGCCGAAAGGCGUAGUCGAUGGGAAACAGGUUAAUAUUCCUGUACUUGGUGUUACUGCGAAGGGGGGACGGAGAAGGCUAUGUUGGCCGGGCGACGGUUGUCCCGGUUUAAGCGUGUAGGCUGGUUUUCCAGGCAAAUCCGGAAAAUCAAGGCUGAGGCGUGAUGACGAGGCACUACGGUGCUGAAGCAACAAAUGCCCUGCUUCCAGGAAAAGCCUCUAAGCAUCAGGUAACAUCAAAUCGUACCCCAAACCGACACAGGUGGUCAGGUAGAGAAUACCAAGGCGCUUGAGAGAACUCGGGUGAAGGAACUAGGCAAAAUGGUGCCGUAACUUCGGGAGAAGGCACGCUGAUAUGUAGGUGAAGUCCCUCGCGGAUGGAGCUGAAAUCAGUCGAAGAUACCAGCUGGCUGCAACUGUUUAUUAAAAACACAGCACUGUGCAAACACGAAAGUGGACGUAUACGGUGUGACGCCUGCCCGGUGCCGGAAGGUUAAUUGAUGGGGUUAGCGGUAACGCGAAGCUCUUGAUCGAAGCCCCGGUAAACGGCGGCCGUAACUAUAACGGUCCUAAGGUAGCGAAAUUCCUUGUCGGGUAAGUUCCGACCUGCACGAAUGGCGUAAUGAUGGCCAGGCUGUCUCCACCCGAGACUCAGUGAAAUUGAACUCGCUGUGAAGAUGCAGUGUACCCGCGGCAAGACGGAAAGACCCCGUGAACCUUUACUAUAGCUUGACACUGAACAUUGAGCCUUGAUGUGUAGGAUAGGUGGGAGGCUUUGAAGUGUGGACGCCAGUCUGCAUGGAGCCGACCUUGAAAUACCACCCUUUAAUGUUUGAUGUUCUAACGUUGGCCCCUAAUCGGGGUUGCGGACAGUGUCUGGUGGGUAGUUUGACUGGGGCGGUCUCCUCCUAAAGAGUAACGGAGGAGCACGAAGGUUGGCUAAUCCUGGUCGGACAUCAGGAGGUUAGUGCAAUGGCAUAAGCCAGCUUGACUGCGAGCGUGACGGCGCGAGCAGGUGCGAAAGCAGGUCAUAGUGAUCCGGUGGUUCUGAAUGGAAGGGCCAUCGCUCAACGGAUAAAAGGUACUCCGGGGAUAACAGGCUGAUACCGCCCAAGAGUUCAUAUCGACGGCGGUGUUUGGCACCUCGAUGUCGGCUCAUCACAUCCUGGGGCUGAAGUAGGUCCCAAGGGUAUGGCUGUUCGCCAUUUAAAGUGGUACGCGAGCUGGGUUUAGAACGUCGUGAGACAGUUCGGUCCCUAUCUGCCGUGGGCGCUGGAGAACUGAGGGGGGCUGCUCCUAGUACGAGAGGACCGGAGUGGACGCAUCACUGGUGUUCGGGUUGUCAUGCCAAUGGCACUGCCCGGUAGCUAAAUGCGGAAGAGAUAAGUGCUGAAAGCAUCUAAGCACGAAACUUGCCCCGAGAUGAGUUCUCCCUGACUCCCUGAGAGUCCUGAAGGAACGUUGAAGACGACGACGUUGAUAGGCCGGGUGUGUAAGCGCAGCGAUGCGUUGAGCUAACCGGUACUAAUGAACCGUGAGGCUUAACCU
Molecule: ribosomal RNA, 2901 nt
Filed under: Escherichia coli
Lineage: Bacteria; Pseudomonadati; Pseudomonadota; Gammaproteobacteria; Enterobacterales; Enterobacteriaceae
Description: 23S ribosomal RNA
Rfam family: Bacterial large subunit ribosomal RNA
Source: RNAcentral